RNAcentral lists this ribosomal RNA (253 nucleotides) under uncultured bacterium. RNAcentral describes it as "partial 16S ribosomal RNA". It matches the Rfam family "Bacterial small subunit ribosomal RNA", at positions 524 to 776 of the family's 1533-position model. The record is from RNAcentral.
UACGUAGGAGGCGAGCGUUGUCCGGAUUUAUUGGGCGUAAAGAGCGCGCAGGCGGCACAUCAAGUACGCAGUGAAAUCUCCCUGCUCAACGGGGAGGGUGCAGCGUAAACUGGCGGGCUUGAGUGUGGCAGAGGGGGGUGGAAUUCCGCGUGUAGCAGUGAAAUGCGUAGAGAUGCGGAGGAACACCGAUGGCGAAGGCAGCCCCCUGGGCCAACACUGACGCUCAGGCACGAAAGCGUGGGGAGCAAACAGG